CAAAAAAAAUCCUGAGAUGACUUGAGAGUAGGAGCGAAAGACUAAUCAAACCCCGUGAUAGCUGGUUCUCUUCGAAAUCGCUUGAGGGCGAGCGUCGGGAAAGUAAACCGUGGAGGUAGAGCACUGGAUGGCUUAGAGUCCACACCAGGAUAUCAAAACCAAUCAAACUCCGAAUUCCACGGGAUCCAUUACCCCGGCAUUCAGACGGUGGGGGAUAAGCUCCAUCGUCGAAAGGGCAACAGUCCAGAUCGUCGGCUAAGGUGCCUAAACGUCGUUAAGUGGAAAGGAUGUGAAGUUACUCAGACAGUGAGGAUGUUGGCUUAGAGGCAGCCACCAUUUAAACAGUGCGUAAUAGCUGACUCAUCGAGUGAUUUCGCGCCGAAAAUGAUUGGCGAUAAAUGACGUACCGAAGCCACGAAUGCCAUCGCGGUUCGCCGUGGUGGCGUGGUAGAAGAGCGUGAACGGUGCAGUGAAGCAGAACCGAAAGGGGACGUGGAGCGCCGUUCAGUGAGAAUGCAGACACGAGUAGCGAUAAACCAGAUGAGAAUUCUGGUCGCCGUAAACCCAAGGUUUCCUGGGCCAGGUUCGUCCUCCCAGGGUCAGUCGGGAGCUAAGAUGAGGUCGUAAGACGUAAUCGAUGCACAGCCGGUCAACAUUCCGGCACCGACGUGGUUUAAACCGUUGAUGACGCAAGGAGAAAAAUGGCGGAAUCAUUGAAAGAUUCGGCUUAGGAGCAAUCCGAAGCAUGCCAUCGGACAACUUGUCGAGAAAAGUCAGCGGCCCUUUGCCACGUUGCCCGUACCGCAAACCGACACAGGUGGGUGGGUGUAAGUGCACCAAGGCGCGCGAGAGAGACCUCUCUAAGGAACUCGGCACAUUAGCCCCGUAACUUCGGGAAAAGGAGUGCUCGCUUCUGCGAGCCACAGUAAAUUGCGUUUAGCGACUGUUUAACAAAAACACAGCACUCUGCCACGUCGUUAAGACAACGUAUAGGGUGUGACAAGUGACCAAUGCGGAAAGAUCAAGGCAAGGGGUUAGCCGCAAGGCGAAGCUCUGAACCUAAGUCCCCGUGAAUGUCGGCCGUAACUAUAACGGUCCUAAGGUAGCGAAAUUCCUUGUCGGGUAAGUUCCGACCUGCACGAAUCUUGUAACGACUGAACGACUGUCUCGGAGAGGUUCUCGGCGAAACUGUAACGGCGGUGAAGAUGCCGCCUGCCCGCAGUAGGACGGAAAGACCCUAUGCACCUUUACUGUAAGCUCGUAUUGGCUUCUGGUUGAUGAUGCUUAGCGUAGGUGGGAGACUUUGAAGGCAUGGCUUCGGUUGUGCUGGAGUCGAAAUGUGAAACACCACUCUUUGUCAACUAGGAGUCUAACCUCGAUCCCGUUAGCCGGGCGAGGGACAGUGCGUGCGGGUCAGUUUGGCUGGGACGGCUUCCUCCCG
This 1441-nucleotide ribosomal RNA is filed under the name metagenome. RNAcentral's name for it is "bacterial LSU rRNA". It matches the Rfam family "Bacterial large subunit ribosomal RNA", at positions 788 to 2292 of the family's 2925-position model. The record is from RNAcentral.